This 539-nucleotide ribosomal RNA is filed under the name uncultured bacterium. RNAcentral's name for it is "bacterial SSU rRNA". It matches the Rfam family "Bacterial small subunit ribosomal RNA", at positions 356 to 896 of the family's 1533-position model. The record is from RNAcentral.
GAGGAAUAUUGGUCAAUGGACGGAAGUCUGAACCAGCCAAGUAGCGUGCAGGAUGACGGCCCUAUGGGUUGUAAACUGCUUUUGUAUGGGGAUAAAGUUAGGGACGUGUCCCUAUUUGCAGGUACCAUACGAAUAAGGACCGGCUAAUUCCGUGCCAGCAGCCGCGGUAAUACGGAAGGUCCAGGCGUUAUCCGGAUUUAUUGGGUUUAAAGGGAGCGUAGGCUGGAGAUUAAGUGUGUUGUGAAAUGUAGACGCUCAACGUCUGAAUUGCAGCGCAUACUGGUUUCCUUGAGUACGCACAACGUUGGCGGAAUUCGUCGUGUAGCGGUGAAAUGCUUAGAUAUGACGAAGAACUCCGAUUGCGAAGGCAGCUGACGGGAGCGCAACUGACGCUUAAGCUCGAAGGUGCGGGUAUCAAACAGGAUUAGAUACCCUGGUAGUCCGCACAGUAAACGAUGGAUGCCCGCUGUUGGUACCUGGUAUCAGCGGCUAAGCGAAAGCAUUAAGCAUCCUACCUGGGGAGUACGCCGGCAACGGUG